RNAcentral lists this ribosomal RNA (375 nucleotides) under uncultured Glomeromycotina. Its description in RNAcentral is "LSU rRNA". Lineage: Eukaryota; Fungi; Glomeromycota. The record is from RNAcentral.
UUGAAAGGGAAACGAUUGAAGUCAGUCGUACCAGCGGGAAAUCAACCUUUCGAGUGGGGGUUUUGGAGUUUUGAAGAGUGUCAAAACCUUUGAGAUUUCAAAAUAUUCGCUCUUUUGGUGUACUUUCUCGUGGGUAGGUUAACAUCGAUUUUGAUCAUCAUAAAAAGAUUGGAGGAAUGUAGCUUCGAUCUUGUAUUGAAGUGUUAUAGCCUUUGGUAAAUGUGAUGAUUAGGAUCGAGGAUUGCAACGAAUACCCUUUUGGGCUAUCCGCCUGAUCUCUGAUACGUGGCCUUGGUAUCGAAAGCGUGCUUAUGGUAUUGAGGUAUUACGGUCAAAAGGUUAGAACGGAUUACAUUCGUUAAGGAUGUUGACGUA